CCCUGAUCCAGGCCAUGCCGCGUGUGUGAAGAAGGCCUUUUGGUUGUAAAGCACUUUAAGCAGUGAAGAAGACUCCAUGGUUAAUACCCAUGGACGAUGACAUUAGCUGCAGAAUAAGCACCGGCUAACUCUGUGCCAGCAGCCGCGGUAAUACAGAGGGUGCAAGCGUUAAUCGGAAUUACUGGGCGUAAAGCGAGCGUAGGUGGCUUGAUAAGUCAGAUGUGAAAGCCCCGGGCUUAACCUGGGAACGGCAUCUGAUACUGUUAGGCUAGAGUAGGUGAGAGGAAGGUAGAAUUCCAGGUGUAGCGGUGAAAUGCGUAGAGAUCUGGAGGAAUACCGAUGGCGAAGGCAGCCUUCUGGCAUCAUACUGACACUGAGGUUCGAAAGCGUGGGUAGCAAACAGGAUUAGAUACCCUGGUAGUCCACGCCGUAAACGAUGUCUACUAGUCGUUGGGUCCCUUGAGGACUUAGUGACGCAGCUAACGCAAUAAGUAGACCGCCUGGGGAGUACGGCCGCAAGGUUAAAACUCAAAUGAAUUGACGGGGGCCCGCACAAGCGGUGGAGCAUGUGGUUUAAUUCGAUGCAACGCGAAGAACCUUACCUGGUCUUGACAUAUCUAGAAUCCUGCAGAGAUGCGGGAGUGCCUUCGGGAAUUAGAAUACAGGUGCUGCAUGGCUGUCGUCAGCUCGUGUCGUGAGAUGUUGGGUUAAGUCCCGCAACGAGCGCAACCCUUGUCCUUAGUUACCAGCGGUUUGGCCGGGAACUCUAAGGAUACUGCCAGUGACAAACUGGAGGAAGGCGGGGACGACGUCAAGUCAUCAUGGCCCUUACGACCAGGGCUACACACGUGCUACAAUGGUAGGUACAGAGGGCAGCUACACAGCGAUGUGAUGCGAAUCUCAAAAAGCCUAUCGUAGUCCAGAUUGGAGUCUGCAACUCGACUCCAUGAAGUAGGAAUCGCUAGUAAUCGCGGAUCAGAAUGCCGCGGUGAAUACGUUCCCGGGCCUUGUACACACCGCCCGUCACACCAUGGGAGUUGAUUGCACCAGAAGUGGGUAGCCUAACCUUUUAGGAUGGCGCUCACCAUCGGUGUGGAC
This 1098-nucleotide ribosomal RNA is filed under the name Psychrobacter sp. 6-2(2010). RNAcentral describes it as "bacterial SSU rRNA". It matches the Rfam family "Bacterial small subunit ribosomal RNA", at positions 381 to 1469 of the family's 1533-position model. Lineage: Bacteria; Pseudomonadati; Pseudomonadota; Gammaproteobacteria; Moraxellales; Moraxellaceae. The record is from RNAcentral.